Molecule: transfer RNA, 76 nt
Filed under: Eubacteriales bacterium
Lineage: Bacteria; Bacillati; Bacillota; Clostridia; Eubacteriales
Also listed under: 1 other name
Description: tRNA-Gln
Rfam family: tRNA
About the family: Transfer RNA (tRNA) molecules are approximately 80 nucleotides in length. Their secondary structure includes four short double-helical elements and three loops (D, anti-codon, and T loops). Further hydrogen bonds mediate the characteristic L-shaped molecular structure. tRNAs have two regions of fundamental functional importance: the anti-codon, which is responsible for specific mRNA codon recognition, and the 3' end, to which the tRNAs corresponding amino acid is attached (by aminoacyl-tRNA synthetases). tRNAs cope with the degeneracy of the genetic code in two manners: having more than one tRNA (with a specific anti-codon) for a particular amino acid; and 'wobble' base-pairing, i.e. permitting non-standard base-pairing at the 3rd anti-codon position.
Source: RNAcentral
UGGGGUAUCGCCAAGGGGUAAGGCACAAGACUUUGACUCUUGCAUUACGAUGGUUCGAAUCCAUCUACCCCAGCCA